This 11413-nucleotide long non-coding RNA is filed under the name Vitis vinifera (wine grape). RNAcentral's name for it is "long non-coding RNA (VVIN_LNC004664)". The record is from RNAcentral. Lineage: Eukaryota; Viridiplantae; Streptophyta; Magnoliopsida; Vitales; Vitaceae.
AUUGUUUUGUUUCUUUGCUUCUCAUACAGAGAUUUCUCUAAAAGCCGCAAUCAUGCUAAACUCACCUUGCACGGUGGAAAGUCACAGGAAUUAAUAAAAGGGAAAACUGAUCAGAAGGGACAAAAAUCCCUCAAUAUUGUAAAACUAACCCUCCACUUUUAAUAGCCUCUAAAAUGGUCCGAUCUGGACAAAAAUACCCCUCAGCUACAUCAACUCCUUUUUCCCUCCCAUUUUAAUUUUAUUUCCCUCCAUUCACCUCCUUUUUAUUAUUUCUUCCACUUUCUCAUUUUUUUCAUUUUCUCCUGUUAUUCCGUUUCUCUCUUUUCAGUGCAUUUCUUCAAGUCUCACACAGUUUCUCUUCAGAUUUCUUCAACUUAAAGCGCUUUAAGUUGUGGUUGGAUAAACAGUGUACGUUUAUUUUUAUUUUUCCAUAUUUUUUUUCUUUCAUGUUUUAUUUAUUGAAUAUUUUCAAACAUUUAAUGAGAUGUAGUAAAUAUUUAAAUAAGUUUGAAAUUGUUAUAAUUUUUUUAAUAUCAUUUACAGCCAUGAAAAAAGGGAUUAAAAGAAGGAAACAAUCAGCUUAAAAAGUGUAGCGUGGAGAAACAUUGUCUAUAUGGAAAAAUCAAAUGAUGGUAAGUAAUAAAACUUAUGGAAUUUUAUGAUGGUUUUGGUAUUGUUUGCACAUUUGUGCUUUAUAUAGAUGUAAAUAUAUGUGUUAAUAGGGUUUUGACAUAAUAUAUAAAGUUAUCUUUUUUAGUUAUAUAUCAAAACCUUACGGAUAUUAAGUUGAACUUGACGUGUGUUAAGUUGAACUUGAAGUAAGUUAAGAUUGUAUAUAGUUAUUUUAUAGUAACAUUAUAUUUUUGUUAUUGUAUUUAAUUAUACUCAAUUUGAGUUGAAUCAUUUGCAAAUUAGCCUUGACAUUAAAUAAAUUACAACAUAACCAAUCUUUUAGUAAACAAAUAUAUUUUUAUUGUUUAAAAUAGUUUAGAGUUACAAUGUCUGAAUUUAUUUAAUAACUAUAUACAUUGUAUUUCUAUAUCAUUAUUGGUAUUAUUUGAGGUAGUAAAGAUGAUUAAUAAUGUUAUUUAUUUGUUGUUUAUUAAAAAAAUAAAUAUGUGUAAUGAAAUAAUAUGUAUUUAAUAAUGAAUGAGUUUUUUAAAAUUAAUACCUACUUAUUGGUGCUAAUGCUAUGAUGUAACUAAAAAAUAUUCUAAUAUUGUUUGUUGAUGCCACUAAUUGAAUUAUUCUGUUAUUUCAGUGGUUGAUGAAGUAGGAAUAAUGCUUUUAUAUGAAGGAGAAUGGGUACGAGAUGGAAAUGUUUUCUAUUUCGAAGGAAGUAAAGGUAAAGGCAUUGAGAUCCCGAAAACUAUAUCAUAUAAAGAGUUAUUAGGGGUUGUCCAUCAUAUUUUGAAGCUAGAUCCAACAAAUUGUUUUCUUUCAAUGAAGUAUGUAUUCAAUGCCAACAUACCCACAAGUCCUAUACAACUAACUGAUGAUGGGGAUGUGAAAUUCUUUAUUGGUUUAAAUUGUACAAAUGGUAAGCUGCCUGUUCCAUUGUGCAUCACAGUUGAAAAGAGAAUUGAUAAUCACAAUCAGAAAUCAAUUUGCAAUUCUUAUUUCGAAUGUCAUAUGUCUUCUGAGAUUGAUAAAGAAUUGAAUGAGGACUCAAUGUUGAUGCAUAAAAGUAGACACAUUCAUUGUGAUUCAGUUGAAACUCUUACUGUUGAUGGUGAAAAUGGACCAAGAUUUCAAAAUGAGUCACAUGAAGGGUAUAAAGUUCAUGAUUGGAACAUGAAUGAGACUGCAAUUAAUGAGGAGGAUUAUAGAAUGAAUACUAACCCUACUAGUGAUAAGCAAGUGACCCAAAUUGGCUCAUUCAGAACUGGUUCAGCUCAGAGUGCAGAAAUCUUGACCAUGAUUGAUACAAGUGAUGGGUUCAUACAUGACAAUCCCACUAUAAUCGAAGAUGUAGCAAAUGAAAGACAAAACAUGAUGCAACAACCUAUAGUUAGUGGAAUUAGUGAUGACCAUCUAGAAGAACACCAAAUUUACUCAAGUAAGAAAGAAUUACAAAGGAAGUUGUAUAUGAUGGCUCUGAAAAGGAAGUUUGAGUUCAAAACAACUAAAUCCACUACUAAGUUAUUGCUUGUUGAAUGUUUUGAUAAAGAAUGCAAGUGGCGAGUUCGUGCUACCAAGUUGGGGAUUUCCAAUAUGUUUCAAAUAAUGAAAUUCUAUUCAACACACACUUGUCGGUUAGAUAUGAUGUCUCGUGACAAUCGACAUGCAAGUAGUUGGUUGAUUGGUGAGAGUAUAAGAGAAACAUAUCAAGGGAUUGGUUGUGAAUUUCGACCAAAAGACAUUGUAGCAGACAUUCGAAAGCAGUAUGGCAUUCCAAUCAGUUAUGAUAAGGCGUGGAGAGCCAAAGAACUUGCUCUAGGUUCUAUUAGGGGAUCACCUGAGGAGUCUUAUAACACUUUACCAUCCUAUUGCUAUGUUUUAGAGCAAAAAAAUCCUGGUACCAUUACUGAUAUAGUUACUGAUUGUGAUAAUCAAUUCAAAUACUUUUUUAUGUCGAUUGGUGCAUCUCUUGCUGGGUUUCACACAUCAAUAAGGCCUGUGGUUGUAGUUGAUGGGACAUUUUUGAAAGCAAAGUACUUAGGGACUUUAUUUAUUGCAGCGUGUAAAGAUGGCAACAAUCAGAUAUACCCUUUAGCCUUUGGGAUUGGUGAUUCAGAAAAUGAUGCCUCAUGGGAGUGGUUUUUACAAAAACUACAUGAUGCACUUGGACACAUUGAUGAUUUGUUUGUGAUAUCAGAUCGACAUGGUAGCAUUGAGAAAGCAGUACAUAAAGUAUUUCCCCAUGCGAGGCAUGGUGUCUGCACUUAUCACGUUGAACAAAAUUUGAAGACAAAGUUCAAGAAUCCUGCAAUUCAUAAGUUGUUCCAUGAUGCUGCCCAUGCUUAUCGUGUUUCAGAGUUUAAUUUUAUAUUUGGGCAACUAGAGAUGAUUGACCCAAGAGCAGCAAGAUAUUUGAUGGAUAUAGGUGUUGAUCGAUGGGCACGUUCAUAUUCUACCGAAAAAAGAUAUAAUAUCAUGACGACAGGGAUCGUUGAAAGCCUUAAUGCUGUGUUGAAAAAUGCUAGAGAUCUUCUGGUUUUGCAAUUGGUUGAAGAAUUGAGAAACUUACUUCAAAAAUGGUUUGUGACUCGUCAACAACAAGCAAUGUCAAUGUCAACUGAACUUACCAUGUGGGCUGAUGGAGAACUUCGUUCUAAGUAUAAUAUGUCAGCAACAUAUCUAGUGGAACCUAUCAACUCCAAGGAGUGUAAUGUUAACUAUGCUGGCAUUAGUGCUCAAGUGAAUUUAGACACUCGUUCAUGCACAUGUCGACAAUUUGAUCUUGAUCAUAUUCCAUGUGCACAUGCUAUUGCUGCUUGUAGAUUUUACAACAUUUCAUGUUACACUUUGUGCUCCAAGUAUUUUACUACUAAAGCAUUGUUAUCUUCAUAUUCAGAGUGUAUUUAUCCAACUGGAAAUGAAAUAGAUUGGGUAGUACCUAAUCAUAUUCGUGAUAAAGUUGUGUUACCACCUAAAACAAGACGCCCAACAGGAAGACCAUUGAUGGGACAUUUUUGAAAGCAAAGUACUUAGGGACUUUAUUUAUUGCAGCGUGUAAAGAUGGCAACAAUCAGAUAUACCCUUUAGCCUUUGGGAUUGGUGAUUCAGAAAAUGAUGCCUCAUGGGAGUGGUUUUUACAAAAACUACAUGAUGCACUUGGACACAUUGAUGAUUUGUUUGUGAUAUCAGAUCGACAUGGUAGCAUUGAGAAAGCAGUACAUAAAGUAUUUCCCCAUGCGAGGCAUGGUGUCUGCACUUAUCACGUUGAACAAAAUUUGAAGACAAAGUUCAAGAAUCCUGCAAUUCAUAAGUUGUUCCAUGAUGCUGCCCAUGCUUAUCGUGUUUCAGAGUUUAAUUUUAUAUUUGGGCAACUAGAGAUGAUUGACCCAAGAGCAGCAAGAUAUUUGAUGGAUAUAGGUGUUGAUCGAUGGGCACGUUCAUAUUCUACCGAAAAAAGAUAUAAUAUCAUGACGACAGGGAUCGUUGAAAGCCUUAAUGCUGUGUUGAAAAAUGCUAGAGAUCUUCUGGUUUUGCAAUUGGUUGAAGAAUUGAGAAACUUACUUCAAAAAUGGUUUGUGACUCGUCAACAACAAGCAAUGUCAAUGUCAACUGAACUUACCAUGUGGGCUGAUGGAGAACUUCGUUCUAAGUAUAAUAUGUCAGCAACAUAUCUAGUGGAACCUAUCAACUCCAAGGAGUGUAAUGUUAACUAUGCUGGCAUUAGUGCUCAAGUGAAUUUAGACACUCGUUCAUGCACAUGUCGACAAUUUGAUCUUGAUCAUAUUCCAUGUGCACAUGCUAUUGCUGCUUGUAGAUUUUACAACAUUUCAUGUUACACUUUGUGCUCCAAGUAUUUUACUACUAAAGCAUUGUUAUCUUCAUAUUCAGAGUGUAUUUAUCCAACUGGAAAUGAAAUAGAUUGGGUAGUACCUAAUCAUAUUCGUGAUAAAGUUGUGUUACCACCUAAAACAAGACGCCCAACAGGAAGACCAAGGAAAGUAAGAAUUCCUUCUGGUGGAGAGGGCAAGCGCACAUCUCGUUGUAGUCGAUGUGGUCAAUAUGGGCAUAAUCGGAAAACAUGCAAACGACCAAUCCCUUGAUAUCAUGAUAGCUUUGGCACUCUAUGAACUUACAUGGAAUGAAAAUUGUAAUAGUGAGCUUUUUUGUUUUUUUGGUACCCAUGUGAACAGAAAUGUAAGUUACUUUUUUGUAUAAGGUGAUAGGAUAAGCACAUAGAUGAAUAUUGUAAUAAUGAUCCCCUUUUUUUGCAUAACCAUAGAAAUGGAGAUAUUUGUUACUUUUGUACAUAUAUGUUAUGAUGAGUUAUGUAUAAAGUAUAAAUGAAAAUUACAUGUUUAUUCUCAAACUAUGGACUCAACUGUUCUCACGUUUAUUGAUAAGGAACUUGAGAAUAGUUAAGUUCAGGUUUUGUCUGAAGACUGUGGACUUAACUACCUUCAAGUUUGUACAUAAAACAACUUGACAAUAGUUAAGUUCAGGUUUUGUCUGAAGACUGUGAACUUAACUACCUUCAAGUUUGUUCAUAAAACAACUUGACAAUAGUUAAGUUCAGGUUUUGUCUGAAGACUGUAGACUUAACUACCUUCAAGUUUGUACAUAAAACAACUUGACAAUAGUUAAGUUCAGGUUUUGUCUGAAGACUGUGAACUUAACUACCUUCAAGUUUGUUCAUAAAACAACUUGACAAUAGUUAAGUUCAGGUUUUGUCUGAAGACUAUGGACUUAACUACCUUCAAGUUUGUUCAUAAAAUAACUUGACAAUAGUUAAGUUCAGUUUUUGUCUGAAGACUGUGAACUUAACUACCUUCAAGUUUGUUCAUAAAAUAACUUGACAAUAGUUAAGUUCAGUUUUUGUCUGAAGACUGUGAACUUAACUACCUUCAAGUUUGUUCAUAAAAUAACUUAACAAUAGUUAAGUUCAGGUAAAAAUGACAAUUGUAGACACAACUUCUUAUGAGUCUAUAGAAGAUCAACUUGAUACCUGUUAAGUCCAGAUUAAAUAUGUUAUUCUGGAAUAGAUUUCGACUUAAUAUCUGUCAAGUUUGUUCACAGUUAACUUGAUAGUAGUUAAGUUCAUGUGUUCUAUUAAGACUGUGGACUUAAUUACCUUCAAGUUUGUACCCAUAACAACUUGACAACAUUGAAGUUUAGUUUAAAAGGUCAAUUGUAUACAUAACUAUCGAACAACAUUCAUCAAAAUAUCCAAGUAGAUAUAUCAACCUGUCCAACUACAUUUAUCAAAAUGCCUAACUACAUAAUAUGAAGCUAUCCAAUUACAUAUAACAAACCAUCCAACUACAUUAUCAAAAUGUGAAAUAUCAACAUGAAUUCAUUACAUAGGCAAGUAUUUCAUAUAAAAUAACUCUGCUGCCAUCUUUUCCCGAAACCAGUCCAUUCGUGCACUUGUUAAUGACUUCAAUGGAUGGUUGUGCAUUAAGUAUUCAGCAUAUUUGAUAACAAACAUGCCACAAUCACCACUGCAUGGUACACAAAUAAUCAAUGUUAGGGCUAUUAUUAAAGAUUAAGUGUAUAAGUUAUGAAAGUAAAUUUAAGAUCACUUACUCAUUUUCCUGUUGAGGAAUAUCUUGCAGCCGUUCAAUUUCCCAUUCUUGGUAGUUAACUUUUGUGUCACCAUGAAAACCAUAAUAUGCUAUUGCAUUCAAUAUAUGCGGCAACAAUUUGGCUAAUGGUUUAAUGGCAACUUGCAAUCUUGCAUUAUUAUUGAUGCCCAUCAAUGAGUCAUAUACGUAUAUAAUCCUUCGAUGAAGGUGGACAACUCCUAAUACCCAGUGACUAGCCCGAACAUUGAUAGGGACAUACACAAUGUCAACAUCAGGCCAUUUGACAGAAUAAAGAGGCUGCAAACCAUUGGCAUAAUCAAUAAGGAUGUCAUUCUCUAGUAAUUUGAAUUGGUUCCACUUCUUGCCAUGCUUAAUCCAUCUUGCUUGAGCAUUUUGCUACAUAGAAUAAAGUUAAUAUACAUAAAUAAAUAACCAAGAUCAUAAGAUUCAUUAUUACAAAAAAAUUAAAAAUGUUAACUAAAAUUCAAACUACACAUACCCAAAACAUAGUAUCCACUGUGGUAAACUUUUGGGAAAAAAGAUGAGGAUUUUCUAUUCGCCGCUUCCGGAAAAAGAAGAAGGCAACAUCAAUGUGCUAACAAUUACAAUAAAGUAAAUUAGUUAUAUUAUUUGGUUGUAAGCUGAACAUAAUAAUAAAUAAAAAUAAAAACAAAAUGCAUCAUUUACAAACCGUGUCAGCAAGCCAUGAACCAUGAUUAGACAGUGAUUGAAACCAUUUUUUAUCUAUAUGCAUGUAGUCAAUGUCAAUUGUGGACCUUUGACAUAAAAAAAAAAAAAAAAAAAAACAUUAGUAAUUUUAUAACUUGUGAAGAACACAAAUUUACAAGUAUGGAUGUAUACAACUUACCCUUGGUCAUCACUCAUCCACUUUUGAAAGGAAUCUAAUGCUUCUUCAGAGAUUGGAUGCAAAGGAUCAAAUGAAGUUAAUGGUUUCUCAAUCUCUUUUCUUAGUUUCUUUCUCUUGGUGGGAUCUGUAAAAGGGUGCUGUAAGAUAUGAGACUUUUUAAUCUCACGCCUUCGCUUAAAAAUGGCAGGAGAUAGAUGGUGAGGUAUGACAUAUACUGAAAACUCACCCGACAUAGUUGGGGUACCAAACAACUUGGCAAUAUCAAUAACUGGAUCAUCAAUAGAGUAGUCAUCUUUCAACUCUUUAGUCAUGUGUUUUUCUGCAAGCUGAAGGUUUCUAGAAGCUUCCAUAUCAAUGUUCACAUCCAUGGGAAUGUCAUUUCUCUCCACUUCAUCAUCUGUAACAUCCUCAAAAAUUCCAGUCUGGAAAUCAAAGCCCAUAUUGUCAUCAUUUUCUUUUGUACUAGAUUUUCUGAAUCUAGUGUCAUGCAUACCGUGUUCCUCAUUCAAACUCUUAACCUAAAAUUGCAUACACCACCCAAUAAUAAUAAAUAUGAGAAAACACAAAUGUCAAAACAUUGAAGUAUUAGAAAAUUUAAACAAGUAAACAUGUCACUAACUUCUAAUAAAAGUUGUUUCAAUUCAUCCAUCUUCAAGUUGAGUCCUUCAAUUUCUUUCUUUAGAUGAUUGAAAUUUAACUCUGAGCUUUGUCUGAAUUUCACAAACUCCAUCCAUAAUUUCUGCACAUAUUGCACAUAAAUGAAAUAAAAAUUUAACACUUACAAUAUUUAUAUAUAUAUUAUGACAAGUUUGUUCACUUUGUGAUUACUACCAAAAAGUGCUAUUUUGUAGACCUAAUUAUAAUGGUUUUAAUGCACCUUUGAGUAGUAAUCAUAUUCAUUUAACCCAAUUAAUUCAUUAAGGUCCUUAGUAAUUGGUUUUAACCAUUUUGUGGCAAGUUUACAUGUUUUUAUCAGCUUAUGAACCAAUUCAAGCAUGCCAAUUGUUGGAGGAGCUACUUGGGCGAGUUAAGCAAGGAUUUUGUACGUUUAUAGGCUUGAAUUUCAAGUGGAAACACGAGCACAAGCAAUGGAGAAGAGGAAAACAGAGUGAAGAAAACAGAGUGAAGAAAACAGAUGCAGUCUUUUUUCGCACUUUUGAGGCACUUCCCGAAGUCCAAUUUUUUCAUGUUAUAUACCAUUUGAAAGCUUAGGAAGUCAAGAAUCCAACGCUUCAAACCGUGUAUGAUUUGGAGCUGAAAUGAGGAAGAUAUGGCCUUCGGAAGACAACUGCAUCAUGUCAAAUGGCCAAUUUCGCAAGGUGAAUUUCACAUUGCGAAAAUUUCGCAAUGGGAUUUUCUUCAUGGUGCGAAAUUUUGCCAUUUCGCACCAUGAAGAAACACAUUGCGAAAAUUUCGCAAGGAGGAUUAGGCACAUUGCGAAAUUCCUUUGAAUCCCCUGUUUUGAGACAUUGUUGAUGUUAUUCCACUACCGGUUCUCCAAGAUAUUUUGCUUGAUUUUUAGCUUUGUAAAUACCUAUUUUACCCUUGUAAUCAACCAAUGAAUAGGUUGCUUUUGUAAUAGCUCUUGUUUAUUUAAGUUAAGGUCAGGUUCCACAUGUUAAUUAUGGAAUGAACAUCUUAUAUUAAAUAAAGUACCAAAAAAAAAAAAACAUGCAUGCAUUAUUUAUGAUGGCUAAGUUUAGUUUAAGUUACCUCUAUUGAUGGGGUGAUUGCAUCAUUUGUUGUUUCUUCUGCCAUUGCAGCAGUAGCAGCAGCAACAUAUGCAGCAGUGUCAGAUGAGCUUUUUUCAUGCCUUAAGUCAUCAUUCUUGGCAUCUUGUGAGGCAUUUGAUUGGUGCAACAUUUCUGCUGAAGCUCCUUGUUUAUCUACAUGCUUGUAAUAGUCUUGUUGUUGCUCCUCUAAAGUGGGUGUUAGAAGCGAAUGAAAAGUUAACUACAAAGUCCAAAUCAAAUAUAAUUAUUAAUAAACAACAAUACAAUAAUAUUUAUAAUUGCAUUCUUAAAAUGUAAAGGUAAAGAAUUACUUACAUGAGGCUCUAGAAAUACAUUUUCAACCUCAGUAGACCUUGGAGCACUUGUUGCACUCCAAUUUAAUAUUCGAGGAUACCUCUCAGAUACACGAGUGGCAUAUUUCAAUCCAAUAAGUGGAAUAGCCUCGUAUGCCCAAACCUGGAAUGCAUAUGGAAAUCCAACAAGACUAUAUGCUUCAACUGCAGCUUCUCCCUUUGUUUUCUUUUUAUCUUGGUAUUUGGAUACCCGGUUCUCCAAAGCUCUUUGCAAACCAAAUAGUGUCCUCUCAUAACAAAUCCCCCCCCAUGGAUACUUGUUAAAAGCCUCCAAAUUAUCAACCAAAGCAACCCAUUCCAUAUCUAUCAAAUUUUUUCCUUCUUUCCCAAAUAAAACAUGCUCUAAAAAAUACAAAAGUGCCCAACUUUAUCACCUCUUCAUCUUCAAAUCCCUUUUUUUUUAUUUUUCUUAUUCUUUUUCUUUUUCUUUUCCUCUCCUAAAGAAAGAAAAACUUUCUCCAACUCAUCAUUACGCACCUUGUUUUCUCCUUUAAAGUAUGUGUCCCUUAUUCGUAAUGAUUUUUUAUCACAUUUUGUAAUAGGACCAAAACUCAAGCCCGUAAUCAAUGCAAACUCUUCUUUACUAAAUCUUAAGCCCUUUGACUUUAAUAAAAUCCAUAUUUCAUUGUCUUUUUUGGUUUCACAUUGACGUAACAACAAUUGAUGAACAAUUUGGGCUGAAAAUCUAAGUUCGGGAAGGAGUAAAAAAUGACCAAAACAUGAUUUUCUAAACAUCUCCAAUUGUGGUUCAGUCAAUUUCUUCUUAAUAUUUUCAAUGGCUACCAAGUGAGACAAACAUGCAAUUUUUCCAGGAAAGUACUCCUCUUUAGAUAUUUUAGAUAUAAAAGAUAGGAGAGGAGGAGGAAUGUCAAUCUGCAAAAUAAUAACAAAUUGUAAAAAUAUCAAUAUAAAUUGAGCAAAAUUAUAUUACCAAACUUAUCCAACUAUGUUAAAUCCAUCAUUUUGUAUUACUUCUUAACAUAGACUUUAUUUUCCUAUUAUUUAAGGAUGUCAUGUCAAAUGCUAAUAUUCUAAAGAUAUUAUUUUACUAAUGCAAUUGAAGCUAUUAUAUUUUAGUAAGUUGCAGCUACAAAAAAUUGGAGACAUUAUUCUAGUGUUUAUUGAAAUUUGAAACAAAACAAAACCAUUUUGAAAUUGCAACCUGACAAUGAACUUGAUAGCAAUUAAGUUCAGUUUCUUCUUAACAUAUAUAUUUAAAUCAAAAUUCUAAAUAUUUGGAUAAAAUAAUUUCACAAAAAUUAUAUUCAAAUACGUUAUAAAUUCAUAACAAAUAACUUCAUUACACAAAAUUUCAAAACCUUUUGAUGGUAAACUUGAUAGUAGUUAAGUUUAGUUUUUUCUAAUAAUUCAAAUAUUGCUUUAAACCUUGGACUAUAACCUCACUGAGAAAAUUUCCAACAAUUAGAUUAUCAAUUCAUGAAAAAUAAAUUCACAAAAAAAAAUCUAUUAAAAAUGAUAAAAUUAAAAAAAAAAUUAAAAAUCAAAAUUUCAAGUAGACAAUUAAUGCUUACUGAAUCAGUUGAUUUCUUCUCAUUUUCUGAUGACGAUGAAGAGGUUUCAAAACCUGGCUUUCUUUCACUUCUCUUUUUUCCCAAAAUUUUAUACCUCUUCUGUUUCGUAUUUUUCAUCACAGAAUUUUUUUCUUCCUCCAUUUUCAUGAACUGAAUCAACACACAAUAUCAGAAAGAUGAAAAAUCGGGUUUGAUUAAAAGAAAAAAAUAAGAACCAAAAUAAGACACUUAGGGUUUCUUCUCAUUUCAUGGAUGAAGAUUCAUAUAUACAGUUCGAAAAACCAAAAUCAAAGAAUGAAACAGUGAAACUUACUUUCUGUUUUUUCUUUGUAUUGUGUUGCCUUUUUGUUCUCUUGCAAUAAACGGAAAAAUCCUUCGUGAUUUCUUUCUCGCAGGUUAACGAAGAGACACAAUACAAGAGAAAAUUGGAGUUGGAGGAAGAGACACAAUACAAGGGAAAAUUGGAGUUGGAGGGAAAAAGGGCUGAAAAAGAUAACUGAGGGGGUGAGGGGGUAUUUUUGUCCGAAUUGGGUCAUUUUUGAGACCUAAAUAAGUAAAGGGUUAGUUUUGCAAUAUUGAGGGAUUUUUGUCCCUUUUAAUCGGUUAUCCCUUAAUAAAAUACCGGGUGGGCAUGAUUUUCAUUGCUUAAUCCAUAAGAGAAAGUAGGUCAGUAUUAUCUUCCGGCCCGUACCGGGGCAAGGAGGUUCUCCUGCGUGCCAUGGGG